AGUUCAAAAUGUACCUUUUCUGCGCUUUUAAUGUUUAUCACACUUACAAAUGUAAUCUUUGUUGCUGAGAAUUUUACCUGAUUUCUAACAAUUUAUCUUUCUUCGUAUUCUAGGUGAAUUGCCGUAAUGAUUUCAUUCCUACUUUUCAUAAUUUGACCCAACUGGGGCUUGCCUCUCUCGAUUAUAAUUGGCAAUUCUUACUACAAGUUCUCAACCACUGUCCUAAUCUUCAAAAGCUUGAUAUUGAUGAGGACACCUUGAUUACUCUGCGAGGGUGAUGCGAGUUGUAACAUGGGAUCGAUCAUUCAGAGAAACACCGAAUACUGAUGAAGUGCAAGAUGAUUUUGAUUCAGAGAAACAUCAAACACUUGCUACUGUAUUAGACAAGUUGCUAGCAUGGGAAAGGAAACUUUAUAAAGAUGUUAAGGCUGCUGAGUUAACAAAAUCUGAAACCAAAGAAAGGUUGCCACUGUCAAUAAGCUAGAGAAAAGAGGUACAAACACAGAAACAUUGGAGAAAGCAAAAGCAGAAAUCAGUCAUUUGGAUUCAAUUUACAUUGUAGAUAUGCAAUCAUUGGAGUCAACAAUCUCCGAGAUAAAUGAUUUACGCGAUCAGCAGUUGUACCAGAAACUUGUUCAGCUUGUUGAUGGGACGGCAACAAUGUCGGAACUAUGCAUUACCACCAUAAGAAGCAGUUUAUUAUUAUGAAGUUAUUAAGAUCAUUAGAUUCUCAGUUUCCUAAUGAAACAAGUGAACACCAUCAUGAUAGAACAUACCAGUUACUGAAUGUUAUGCAAGAGUUCGAAUCACAGUUUGAAAAAUCGAUAAACAAUCAAAAGGGCUUCAUAAAAGCUGUAUACAGUUGGUUAAAACUGAAUCUCAUCCUUACUGAGAAUGAUAUAAAAGCAAAGAUUUCUUCACCAUAUAUACAAAUUCUUCUUCAUGCUUGGAAUGAUCAUCUAGAGAAACUUUCUGACGAACUUACUUUGAAAGCCAUAUCACAUUUUGUUGCUGUGGUGGAUUCUCUUUAUCAACAACAAGAACAAGAGUUGGUAUUAAAGAGAAAAUGCGAGGAGAUGCAAAAGUCGACGAUUUGAUCAGUGGGAAUGCAAAUAUAAGAAAAAGAAAAGACUCAUGAGUUCGAUCAGAAUAAGGUUGAAGGUGAUACUAAUGAUCCUGAUGUUGUUAGGGAGAAGAGAGUUUUUAUUGAACUAGAAAAGAGAUUGGAUGAAGGAAAAAGUGCUUUUGAAAGACAGUGCUCACAUGUGAGGCAAAAAUCUUUGGGGUGUCUUAAAAAUAGCUUGCUAGAACGCUUUAGAGCUAUGACAGAUUUUUCUUUUGAAUGUUCUAAAAUGUAUAGUGAGUUAAGGUGUGUAGCACAUAAAUUAAGAUCAGAACAAAGCUCAUCAUUCAUGAGAGUAAAACACAAAGUGUGACUCUGGAACAUAUAAUUCAAAAUGCACAUCUUAUGCA
Long non-coding RNA from Trifolium pratense (red clover), 1473 nucleotides. RefSeq lists it as uncharacterized. The transcript is spliced from 4 exons. The record is from RefSeq and is a predicted model, not a curated record. NCBI's taxonomy places the organism in Eukaryota, Viridiplantae, Streptophyta, Magnoliopsida, Fabales, Fabaceae.